This 116-nucleotide non-coding RNA is filed under the name Fragilariopsis kerguelensis. The record is from RNAcentral. Lineage: Eukaryota; Bacillariophyta; Bacillariophyceae; Bacillariales; Bacillariaceae.
CGAAAAAGGUCAGUCACCCAUCGGAAGUUGUUGUCCAUGCUGUCGUCGUCGUCGUCGUCGUUAUUGUUGUUGGUGUUGGAGUUGGGGGUGGAAGUGAUGAUGGCGGUGAUGGUGGU